This 422-nucleotide ribosomal RNA is filed under the name uncultured bacterium. RNAcentral describes it as "bacterial SSU rRNA". It matches the Rfam family "Bacterial small subunit ribosomal RNA", at positions 355 to 774 of the family's 1533-position model. The record is from RNAcentral.
UGAGGAAUAUUGGACAAUGGAUGGAAAUCUGAUCCAGCCAUGCCGCGUGCAGGAAGACGGCCCUAUGGGUUGUAAACUGCUUUUGUAUGGGAGCAAUAAGGACUACGUGUAGUUUGAUGAGAGUACCAUACGAAUAAGCAUCGGCUAACUCCGUGCCAGCAGCCGCGGUACUACGGAGGAUGCGAGCGUUAUCCGGAUUUAUUGGGUUUAAAGGGUGCGUAGGCGGCGAUAUAAGUCAGUGGUGAAAUAUUUCGGCUUAACCGAGAGACUGCCAUUGAUACUGUGUUGCUAGAAUAUGGUUGCUGUGAGUGGAAUGUGUGGUGUAGCGGUGAAAUGCUUAGAUAUCACACAGAAUAUCGAUUGCGAAGGCAGCUCACAAAGCCAUUAUUGACGCUGAGGCACGAAAGUGUGGGGAUCAAACA